Molecule: ribosomal RNA, 440 nt
Filed under: uncultured bacterium
Lineage: Bacteria
Description: bacterial SSU rRNA
Rfam family: Bacterial small subunit ribosomal RNA
Source: RNAcentral
CCUACGGGAGGCAGCAGUCGGGAAUUUUGGGCAAUGGGCGAAAGCCUGACCCAGCAACGCCGCGUGAAGGAUGAAGUUUUUCGGAAUGUAAACUUCGUAAGAAUGGGAAGAAACAAAUGACGGUACCAUUUGUAAGCCCCGGCUAACUACGUGCCAGCAGCCGCGGUAAUACGUAGGGGGCAAGCGUUGUUCGGAUUUACUGGGCGUAAAGGGCGCGUAGGCGGCGUGACAAGUCACUUGUGAAAUCUCCGGGCUUAACUCGGAACUGCCAAGUGAUACUGUCGUGCUAGAGUGCAGAAGGGGCAAUCGGAAUUCUCGGUGUAGCGGUGAAAUGCGUAGAUAUCGAGAGGAACACCUGAGGUGAAGACGGGUUGCUGGGCUGACACUGACGCUGAGGCGCGAAAGCUAGGGGAGCAAACGGGAUUAGAUACCCUUGUAGU